UAGGUGCAGAAGAUACAUAAAUGUACUUUUCCCAAGUGUUUUGGAAUACUACCAGUUUGGGAUCAUUCUAAAUUAAGUUCUUUGCUUGAGAUCUUAAGAACUAUUCAGUUAAUGUGAGAAGAAACAUCAGAAGCAGCUGAGGCACAAGGAAGUGGGUCCUCUAGGGAUGAGGAAAUAUUCUGCUAGAUGACCUUAAAAAAUGUUUCUUCCAGAGACUUUUGCCUCAUUUACAAUGUCUUUUUUUGUCCUAUAAGCCUCUCUUUGAUUUUAUAAACUGACAUAAUUUCUUGUUGUUAUGAGUGUACACUGCUCUAGUCGUUCAAUAAACCCAUCACACAUU
This 340-nucleotide long non-coding RNA is filed under the name Homo sapiens (human). Its description in RNAcentral is "HSALNT0180343". Lineage: Eukaryota; Metazoa; Chordata; Mammalia; Primates; Hominidae. The record is from RNAcentral.